This 279-nucleotide ribosomal RNA is filed under the name uncultured bacterium. Its description in RNAcentral is "partial 16S ribosomal RNA". It matches the Rfam family "Bacterial small subunit ribosomal RNA", at positions 506 to 784 of the family's 1533-position model. The record is from RNAcentral.
UGCCAGCCGCCGCGGUAAUACGAAGGGAACUAGCGUUGUUCGGAUUUACUGGGCGUAAAGAGCAUGUAGGCGGAUUGGACAGUUGGAGGUGAAAUCCCGGAGCUCAACUCCGGAACUGCCUUCAAUACUUCCAGUCUAGAAUCUGUAAGGGGGUGGUGGAAUUCCGAGUGUAGAGGUGAAAUUCGUAGAUAUCCGGAGGAACACCAGAGGCGAAGGCGGCUAUCUGGACCAGUACUGACGCUGAGGAGCGAAAGCGUGGGGAGCGAACAGGAUUAGAUA